GAGGAAUAUUGGUCAAUGGGCGAGAGCCUGAACCAGCCAAGUAGCGUGAAGGAUGACUGCCCUAUGGGUUGUAAACUUCUUUUAUAAGGGAAUAAAGUGGAGUAUGUAUACUCCUUUGUAUGUACCUUACGAAUAAGGAUCGGCUAACUCCGUGCCAGCAGCCGCGGUAAUACGGAGGAUCCGAGCGUUAUCCGGAUUUAUUGGGUUUAAAGGGAGCGUAGGCGGAUGUUUAAGUCAGUUGUGAAAGUUUAAGGCUCAACCUUGAAAUUGCAGUUGAGACUGGAUAUCUUGAGUAUUGGAGAGGCAAGUGGAAUUCCUAGUGUAGCGGUGAAAUGCGUAGAUAUUAGGAGGAACACCAGUGGCGAAGGCGACUUUCUGGACAAUAACUGACGCUGAGGCUCGAAAGCGUGGGGAGCGAAC
This 420-nucleotide ribosomal RNA is filed under the name uncultured bacterium. RNAcentral's name for it is "bacterial SSU rRNA". It matches the Rfam family "Bacterial small subunit ribosomal RNA", at positions 356 to 773 of the family's 1533-position model. The record is from RNAcentral.